UCGAGAAUUUUUCUCAAUGGGGGAAACCCUGAAGGAGCGACGCCGCGUGGAGGAUGAAGGUCUUCGGAUUGUAAACUCCUGUCAUUAGAGAACAAUGUGCAUCCAUUAACUGUGGAUGCAUUGAUAGUAUCUGAAGAGGAAGAGACGGCUAACUCUGUGCCAGCAGCCGCGGUAAUACAGAGGUCUCAAGCGUUGUUCGGAUUCAUUGGGCGUAAAGGGUGCGUAGGUGGUGCCGUAAGUCAGGUGUGAAAUCUCGGGGCUCAACCCCGAAACUGCACUUGAUACUGCGGUGCUCGAGGACUGGAGAGGAGAUCGGAAUUCAUGGUGUAGCAGUGAAAUGCGUAGAUAUCAUGAGGAAGACCAGUGGCGAAGGCGGAUCUCUGGACAGUUCCUGACACUGAGGCACGAAGGCCAGGGGAGCAAACGGGAUUAGAUACCCCCGUAGUCC
This 448-nucleotide ribosomal RNA is filed under the name uncultured bacterium. RNAcentral describes it as "bacterial SSU rRNA". It matches the Rfam family "Bacterial small subunit ribosomal RNA", at positions 355 to 796 of the family's 1533-position model. The record is from RNAcentral.